GCGCCCGUAGCUCAACUGGAUAGAGCGUUGGAUUCCGGUUCCAAAGGUUGGGGGUUCGAGCCCCUCCGGGCGCACAA
Molecule: transfer RNA, 77 nt
Filed under: Chlorobiota bacterium
Lineage: Bacteria; Pseudomonadati; Chlorobiota
Description: Chlorobi bacterium (hot springs metagenome) tRNA-Arg
Rfam family: tRNA
About the family: Transfer RNA (tRNA) molecules are approximately 80 nucleotides in length. Their secondary structure includes four short double-helical elements and three loops (D, anti-codon, and T loops).
Source: RNAcentral